RNAcentral lists this ribosomal RNA (433 nucleotides) under uncultured bacterium. RNAcentral's name for it is "partial 16S ribosomal RNA". It matches the Rfam family "Bacterial small subunit ribosomal RNA", at positions 29 to 507 of the family's 1533-position model. The record is from RNAcentral.
AACGAACGCUGGCGGCAGGCCUAACACAUGCAAGUCGAGCGGACCCUUCGGUGUUAGCGGCGGACGGGUGAGUAACGCGUGGGAAUAUGCCCUUCUCUACGGCAUAGUCCUGGGAAACUGGGGGUAAUACCGUAUACGCCCUUUGGGUGAAAGAGUUAUCGGGGAAGGAUUAGCCCGCGUUGGAUUAGGUAGUUGGUGGGGUAAUGGCCUACCAAGCCGACGAUCCAUAGCUGGUUUGAGAGGAUGAUCAGCCACACUGGGACUGAGACACGGCCCAGACUCCUACGGGAGGCAGAAGUGGGGAAUCUUAGACAAUGGGGGCAACCCUGAUCUAGCCAUGCCGCGUGAGUGAUGAAGGCCUUAGGGUUGUAAAGCUCUUUCAGCUGGGAAGAUAAUGACGGUACCAGCAGAAGAAGCCCCGGCUAACUCCGUG